RNAcentral lists this ribosomal RNA (960 nucleotides) under Bacillus sp. HZBN35. Its description in RNAcentral is "bacterial SSU rRNA". It matches the Rfam family "Bacterial small subunit ribosomal RNA", at positions 380 to 1330 of the family's 1533-position model. Lineage: Bacteria; Bacillati; Bacillota; Bacilli; Caryophanales; Bacillaceae. The record is from RNAcentral.
AGUCUGACGGAGCAACGCCGCGUGAGUGAUGAAGGAUUUCGGUUCGUAAAGCUCUGUUGUUAGGGAAGAACAAGUGCCGUUCGAAUAGGGCGGCACCUUGACGGUACCUAACCAGAAAGCCACGGCUAACUACGUGCCAGCAGCCGCGGUAAUACGUAGGUGGCAAGCGUUGUCCGGAAUUAUUGGGCGUAAAGCGCGCGCAGGCGGUCUUUUAAGUCUGAUGUGAAAGCCCACGGCUCAACCGUGGAGGGUCAUUGGAAACUGGGAGACUUGAGUACAGAAGAGGAGAGUGGAAUUCCACGUGUAGCGGUGAAAUGCGUAGAUAUGUGGAGGAACACCAGUGGCGAAGGCGACUCUCUGGUCUGUAACUGACGCUGAGGCGCGAAAGCGUGGGGAGCAAACAGGAUUAGAUACCCUGGUAGUCCACGCCGUAAACGAUGAGUGCUAGGUGUUAGGGGUUUCGAUGCCCUUAGUGCCGAAGUUAACACAUUAAGCACUCCGCCUGGGGAGUACGACCGCAAGGUUGAAACUCAAAGGAAUUGACGGGGGCCCGCACAAGCAGUGGAGCAUGUGGUUUAAUUCGAAGCAACGCGAAGAACCUUACCAGGUCUUGACAUCCUUUGACCACCCUAGAGAUAGGGCUUUCCCCUUCGGGGGACAAAGUGACAGGUGGUGCAUGGUUGUCGUCAGCUCGUGUCGUGAGAUGUUGGGUUAAGUCCCGCAACGAGCGCAACCCUUGAUCUUAGUUGCCAGCAUUCAGUUGGGCACUCUAAGGUGACUGCCGGUGACAAACCGGAGGAAGGUGGGGACGACGUCAAAUCAUCAUGCCCCUUAUGACCUGGGCUACACACGUGCUACAAUGGAUGGUACAAAGAGCAGCAAAACCGCGAGGUCGAGCCAAUCUCAUAAAGCCAUUCUCAGUUCGGAUUGUAGGCUGCAACUCGCCUACAUGAAGCCGGA